GCUCUCUCCUCCCUUGUACGUAGCAGACAUUUUAGUCCACUCGAGGAGCCCUCAAAGCAUAGCUUCUUAUUCAAAUGAGGAAGGAUCCCUUCCAGAGGAACCAAGAACUUGGCAAGAGCACAGCCAGAUGACUCAUCUUGCCCUGAUAGCUGGGGCCUCAUCCGGAAUAACACACAUGUCAAGGACUGGAGCAGCUGAGGGCUGGCAGGAUGGCUGGGAGUGCCACAGGCCGAGGUGGGAAGCUCUAGCACAGAAGCAAGUUUCGGGGAGAACGGCUGUGAGUUUGCUGCCUGCUGUCUCCCGCAGAUGAUCCCCGACGAUCCACUCGCAACACCAAGAAUAUCUCAGGUCACAGAGGCUCUCCUUUAUUGAAGCAUGAUUUACUGCAGGAGAA
This is a long non-coding RNA of Bos taurus (domestic cattle), 394 nucleotides long. The record is from Ensembl. NCBI's taxonomy places the organism in Eukaryota, Metazoa, Chordata, Mammalia, Artiodactyla, Bovidae.